Molecule: transfer RNA, 107 nt
Filed under: Lentinula edodes (shiitake mushroom)
Lineage: Eukaryota; Fungi; Basidiomycota; Agaricomycetes; Agaricales; Omphalotaceae
Description: tRNA-Gly
Rfam family: tRNA
About the family: Transfer RNA (tRNA) molecules are approximately 80 nucleotides in length. Their secondary structure includes four short double-helical elements and three loops (D, anti-codon, and T loops).
Source: RNAcentral
GCAUUAAUGGGGUAGUGGUAACCUGGGUCGUUGCCAUACUUCUUGUCUGAGAGAAAGAUAGCUUUAUAUCCCUCGACCCGCCGGGGGUUCGAUUCCCUCUUAAUGCA